GAUGAACGCUAGCUACAGGCUUAACACAUGCAAGUCGAGGGGCAGCAUUGAUAUAGCUUGCUAUAUCAGAUGGCGACCGGCGCACGGGUGAGUAACGCGUAUCCAACCUUCCCCUUAGUAGGGCACAGCCCGGCGAAAGUCGGAUUAAUUCCCUAUGUUGUUUGAUGCUGACAUCAAAAUCAAACCAAAGAUUCAUCGCUAAGGGAUGGGGAUGCGUCUGAUUAGAUAGUAGGCGGGGUAACGGCCCACCUAGUCAACGAUCAGUAGGGGUUCUGAGAGGAAGGUCCCCCACAUUGGAACUGAGACACGGUCCAAACUCC
RNAcentral lists this ribosomal RNA (320 nucleotides) under uncultured Prevotella sp. RNAcentral describes it as "bacterial SSU rRNA". It matches the Rfam family "Bacterial small subunit ribosomal RNA", at positions 28 to 339 of the family's 1533-position model. Lineage: Bacteria; Pseudomonadati; Bacteroidota; Bacteroidia; Bacteroidales; Prevotellaceae. The record is from RNAcentral.